CGGGAUGUGGCGCAGCCUGGUAGCGCGCUUGACUGGGGGUCAAGAGGUCGCAGGUUCGAAUCCUGUCAUCCCGA
RNAcentral lists this transfer RNA (74 nucleotides) under Alienimonas californiensis. It matches the Rfam family "tRNA". Rfam says of the family: Transfer RNA (tRNA) molecules are approximately 80 nucleotides in length. Their secondary structure includes four short double-helical elements and three loops (D, anti-codon, and T loops). Further hydrogen bonds mediate the characteristic L-shaped molecular structure. tRNAs have two regions of fundamental functional importance: the anti-codon, which is responsible for specific mRNA codon recognition, and the 3' end, to which the tRNAs corresponding amino acid is attached (by aminoacyl-tRNA synthetases). tRNAs cope with the degeneracy of the genetic code in two manners: having more than one tRNA (with a specific anti-codon) for a particular amino acid; and 'wobble' base-pairing, i.e. permitting non-standard base-pairing at the 3rd anti-codon position. The record is from Rfam by way of RNAcentral. RNAcentral also lists the same sequence under 1 other name. Lineage: Bacteria; Pseudomonadati; Planctomycetota; Planctomycetia; Planctomycetales; Planctomycetaceae.